Molecule: ribosomal RNA, 253 nt
Filed under: uncultured bacterium
Lineage: Bacteria
Description: partial 16S ribosomal RNA
Rfam family: Bacterial small subunit ribosomal RNA
Source: RNAcentral
UACGUAGGGGGCGAGCGUUGUCCGGAAUCAUUGGGCGUAAAGCGCGUGUAGGCGGCCCGGUAAGUCCGCUGUGAAAGUCCAGGGCUCAACCCUGGGAUGCCGGUGGAUACUGUCGGGCUCGAGUCCGGAAGAGGCGAGUGGAAUUCCUGGUGUAGCGGUGAAAUGCGCAGAUAUCAGGAGGAACACCAAUGGCGAAGGCAGCUCGCUGGGACGUGACUGACGCUGAGGCACGAAAGUGUGGGGAUCAAACAGG